Molecule: ribosomal RNA, 254 nt
Filed under: uncultured bacterium
Lineage: Bacteria
Description: partial 16S ribosomal RNA
Rfam family: Bacterial small subunit ribosomal RNA
Source: RNAcentral
UACGGGGGGAGCAAGCGUUGUUCGGAUUUACUGGGCGUAAAGGGCGCGUAGGCGGUCGUGACAAGUCACUUGUGAAAUCUCCGGGCUUAACUCGGAAAGGUCAAGUGAUACUGUCGGACUAGAGUACAGAAGGGGCAACUGGAAUUCUCGGUGUAGCGGUGAAAUGCGUAGAUAUCGAGAGGAACACCUGCGGCGAAGGCGGGUUGCUGGGACGGUACUGACGCUGAGACGCGAAAGCGUGGGGAGCAAACAGG